RNAcentral lists this ribosomal RNA (465 nucleotides) under uncultured bacterium. Its description in RNAcentral is "partial 16S ribosomal RNA". It matches the Rfam family "Bacterial small subunit ribosomal RNA", at positions 28 to 507 of the family's 1533-position model. The record is from RNAcentral.
GACGAACGCUGGCGGCGUGCUUAACACAUGCAAGUCGAACGGAAAGGCCCCUUUGGGGGUCCUCGAGUGGCGAACGGGUGAGUAACACGGGAGUAACCUGCCCUUUACUUCGGGAUAACUUCAGGAAACUGGGGCUAAUACCGGAUAGGAAUCCUUGCUGCAUGGUGGGGGUUGGAAAGCUUCGGCGGUUUUGGAUGGACUCGCGGCUUAUCAGCUUGUUGGUGGGGUAGUGGCUUACCAAGGCUUUGACGGGUAGCCGGCCUGAGCGGGCGACCGGCCACAUUGGGACUGAGAUACGGCCCAGACUCCUACGGGAGGCAGCAGUGGGGAAUAUUGCACAAUGGGCGGAAGCCUGAUGCAGCAACGCCGCGUGCGGGAUGACGGCCUUCGGGUUGUAAACCGCUUUCAGCAGGGGCGAAGCUUGUGGUGACGGUACCUGCAGAAGAAGCACCGGCUAACUACGUG